ACUUGAGGGAAAUCCUCUCUCGCUCUCUCUCUCUAUCUAAACCCUAAUCUCUCUCAACCGAUCUCUCUCUAAGCCCUAAUCUCUCUCAAUCGAUCAAUUACAACGAUCUGAAAUUAUUUGAAUUUCUAGUCCUAAUCUCUCUCAACCGAUCGAUUGCAACGAUCUGAAUUUCUGGUGCGAAGCAGAGGUCUUGCAGUGCCUCCUCGAAGCUUCUCACUGUAACGAUCUAAAAACUACGUUUGAUUGCAUCUCCGAUCUGUUCAUCGAUGUCAACUUCGUGGGUGCUGUGUGCUUGAAGGUUUGAAAGGCUCUUACAUCUGGGAUUGCAGGCUAUACUGCAGCCUCUUUCUAUUGCCAACUGGAAGGAAUAAAUUGGGUGAGAAAUUUGUUAUUGAUUGGAAGCCUAUUUUGUGGACCUCUGUUUCUCACAUUCUACUUCCUCAACACUGUUGCAAUUUUUUACAGUGCCACAACAACACUGCCAUUUGGUACCAUUGUGGUGAUAGUUCUCAUAUGGACUCUUGUCACAUCACCUUUGCUAGUAUUGGGUGGUAUCACAGGAAAGAAUAGCAAAGCUGAGUUUCAAGCUCCUGUUCACACAACAAAAUAUCCUAGAGAGAUCCCGUCAUUGCCUUGGUAUCAUGGAGCACUUCCUCAGAUGGCAAUGGCUGGGUUUAUACCUUUCAGUGCAAUCUAUAUAAAGUUUUAAACAAGUUAUCCGUGAGUUGAAUUUUAACACAUGAUGGGUAACACAUGUAUUCUUGCAAAAUACAAAUUAAUGAUGGUGUUUUCAGGCUUGUUUCUUUUGGUUUGGAAACAAACUGUUGCAUCUGGGAUUUAGCAGAUGGUAGGGUUAAUAGAGAAAAAGCAGGGAAAGGAAGACCACUUAACAAAAAGCAACGAGAGGGUAGUUGAACACACCCUUCGAUUCCUUAUGCUUAGUCUGGUUAUAUUUUGAAAUUUGAACAUUUACUCAUACAUCUUUGUACAAAACCAUAAAAGCAUCUUUGUACAAAGCCAUAAAAGAGCUCCCUAUUACAUUGUAGUGGAUAGAUUUAUUACCACAAUAAGUAGGACUAUCUUCAUUUUUCAUAUUUGGUUCUCCCUUUUAUCUUUCUAAGUAUGACUAUUGACAAUUGUGGUUUAUGUUAUGUAUUUUUGUAAAUUGCCUCUUUUCCGAUUGAUAAUUUGUUGUUACACAAUGAAGAGCAGAGGAAAAAUAAUAGGUAUGAAGAAUUUUUUCACUGCUUAAUCAGUAAUCCUUUUUUUGGUUUAAGAUCUAAUAUGAUGAUCUUUUUCUUUAUUUAUGAGAAUUUGUAACAGAAAUGACAAAGGAUGAUGCUUUUCCGGUGGAGAUAUAUUGAGCAUAAUAGCUUUGCUGGGUAGUGCGGAUCUUGUAAGUACUGAACACUAACCAUUCGACCAUGAAUCUAGCUUUGCAGUAAGGUAAUGUUUUGUAUUUCAUAUAGUACUGCUUGUUUUCCCUAAAUACAUAGUAAAAUUACAACAACCAUAGACAUAGCUCUAUUAUGAGUGAACCACAUAAAUAUUUGUGUUCUUGUGUGCUUAAUUUCCUUUCUUGUGUUAUUGUUGUUUGUGUUUUGCCUCUCACCGAUUCUGGUUAGGCAUAUCGAUUCCUGACAAGUUCAUGUGUUUGCAAAUCUAUGGAUGGUGCAAGUUUAAUUCCUCUUGUUCAGUAAAACCAGUCAUCUUGUGCACAAGAUGAACAUGACAUCCUACUAUGCAAGGCAAGGAUGUGGGACGAGUCUUCCCAGUAUGGAACAUCGAUGACGCAAGAGGAAAUAUCAAGAUA
Camellia sinensis is the source of this 1813-nucleotide non-coding RNA. The record is from RefSeq and is a predicted model, not a curated record. Lineage: Eukaryota; Viridiplantae; Streptophyta; Magnoliopsida; Ericales; Theaceae.